Molecule: ribosomal RNA, 505 nt
Filed under: Melanconis stilbostoma
Lineage: Eukaryota; Fungi; Ascomycota; Sordariomycetes; Diaporthales; Melanconidaceae
Description: partial 28S ribosomal RNA
Rfam family: Eukaryotic large subunit ribosomal RNA
Source: RNAcentral
CUUCGGCCCGAGUUGUAAUUUGCAGAGGAAGUAUUUGGCGCGGUGCCUUCCGAGUUCCCUGGAACGGGACGCCAUAGAGGGUGAGAGCCCCGUCUGGUUGGACACCAAGCCUGUGUAAUACUCCUUCGACGAGUCGAGUAGUUUGGGAAUGCUGCUCUAAAUGGGAGGUAAAUCUCUUCUAAAGCUAAAUACCGGCCAGAGACCGAUAGCGCACAAGUAGAGUGAUCGAAAGAUGAAAAGCACCUUGAAAAGGGGGUUAAACAGUACGUGAAAUUGUUGAAAGGGAAGCGUUUAUGACCAGACUUGUGCCGUGUGGCUCAUCCGGGGUUCUCCCCGGUGCACUCCACACGGUUCAGGCCAACAUCGGUUCUCGUUGGGGGAUAAGAACAGUAGGAACGUGGCCCUCUUCGGAGGGUGUUAUAGCCUAUUGUACGAUACCUUGAUGGGGACCGAGGACCGCGCUUCGGCUAGGAUGUUGGCGUAAUGGUCAUUAGCGACCCGUCUU